Long non-coding RNA from Anguilla rostrata (American eel), 1910 nucleotides. RefSeq lists it as uncharacterized. The record is from RefSeq and is a predicted model, not a curated record. The transcript has 2 exons. NCBI's taxonomy places the organism in Eukaryota, Metazoa, Chordata, Actinopteri, Anguilliformes, Anguillidae.
GACAGCAGCUUGGGAUCAAAAGGCUUCCUAAACAACUCUGUGAUGAAGUUGUGGAAAAGUAUACAUCAGGUGAGGGAUAUAAAAAGAUUUCCAAGGGUUUGAAGAUACCAAGUGCAAGUCCAUCAUUAAGAAGUGGGAAGUGCAUGGCACCACCCACAGUCUGCCAAUAUCUGGGCAUCUAUCAAAACUAGAUGACUGGUAGAGAAGACACUUGGUCAGAGAGGUCACAAGGAACCCAACAGUGACCUUGAAAGACCUAAAGGGUUUCAUGGCCAACAGAGGAAAACGUGCAUCACACAACAAUAUCAAAUAUUACACAUAUCUGACCUGUAUAGGAGGCAACAUAGGAGGAGGAUCCUGCAACAAACUGGAAGAAGGUUUUGCGACCAGAUGAAAAUUUUUGGCGUGAAUGUUUGCCAAAACUUAAUACAGCCCAUUACCAAAACAACACCAUCCUGACUGUAAAGCAUGGAGGCAAAACAAUAAUGUUUUGCAGAGGUUUCUCAGCUGCAGGGAAUGGGGUAAAGUGAGGGGAGGGGAGGAUGGAUGGAGCCAAGUACAGGGAGAUUCUGAAGAAGAACCUGGUGAAAUCAUCUGCAAAACAUAUGAAAAUGGGCUGAAAAUUCAUAAUCCAGCAGGUCAAGCAUAAGGCCAAAGCUACGACAGAAUGGUUUGCUUGGAGCAAGGUGGAAGUUCUGGAGUGGUCAGAACCCUGACCUAAAUCCCAUUGAAAAUCUAUGGAAUGACAUGAAGGUUGCUGUCCAUCAGUGAAAACCAACCAACCUCUCCCAGUUUGAAUAGUUCUGCAGAACAAAUUGGGGGAAGAUUUCCAAAUUCUGGUGAGCCAACCUUGUGGGGAGCUACCCGAAAAAAGUGGUAGCUGUAGUUGCUACCCAAAGGUGCUGCUAGCAAAUGACUCUGGGGGGUGUAUACUUGAGAAAUUAGGAAAUUUCAGUUCUAUCCAUUAAAUUAUCUCUCUUUUAAAAUGAAAAUUAUUUCACUGCAUUUAUGUGGUAUGUGGAUCAGGGAAAAGAAGUCCCAUUUAUAUCCAUGAAGUUUACUGAAUCUGACACAACUAAAUGUAAAAACUUUAAAUGGGGGUGCAUUCCGUUUAAAAAAAAAAAAUAAAUAAAAAAAAUACAAUGAUACAAGUAUUUGUAAAUUUUAAUUUUUUUAUCACUGAGGGAUUAUGUCAUUUCAUAGCAUUUUUAUACUUCUGUAGUAAAUUGCAUUUUAUUUACUGCACCAUUUAUUUUGAUUGCAUUUUAUUUGAUUCAAUGUUCAAUUUAAUUGCAGUUUAAUUGAUUCAGUAUUUAUUUAAUAAUAAUAAAUACAGCAGAUCCAGAUGCAGUGGAGCUUUCGCUGAAGAUUUAUUGUCACCAAGCACAUUUGUCUGUGUUCGAAUGCAGAGACAAACAUGUGUGCCUUGUUAGGAUGUCCUCUGAUUUCCUGUAAACAGGCUCCACUGUGCAUUGUGGAGCUGUCAGUAAAUGGUUUGUUCCAUGUCUGUCCAAAGAGCCCAGACUCUUCCAGAAAAAGCAAAAAUUUAACAAUAAUGAUUAAAAGAUUGUGUAAGCUUGAUAUUGUGCAUUUAUGCAAAGAAAAAAAAGAAGAAAUGCUUUAUUAUUUCUUAUAUUCCACAGCUGGUGACCUUUAUCAAUAAACUGUUCCAACAUUAUUAUGUUUAUGUAAAUGUGCCAUAUUCACAUGAAGAGUGGAAAAACACCACUUUCACCAUAACAAAAGAACCGUUAAGCCCAAAUAACGUAUUAUAUUUAUUAUGGUCUUAACCAGAGUGAUAAGUUCUUAUACCCUGGUGGCCAUCAGAAUGGCUGCUUCUCUUAUCAGGUGUGCACUUAAGUGGAAUUAAAGGGGGCCUGGUUAAGAACGCAUUCAUCCGUGAGUUUAAU